This is a long non-coding RNA of Scatophagus argus, 3246 nucleotides long. RefSeq lists it as uncharacterized. NCBI's taxonomy places the organism in Eukaryota, Metazoa, Chordata, Actinopteri, Scatophagidae. The record is from RefSeq and is a predicted model, not a curated record. The transcript has 4 exons.
CUGUGUAAGAAACAAAGCAGGUGGAACGGAGGUGAGCUGGCCGGGGUAAACCCCUACAGGAAAGACGGGCAACAUACCCGGGAAAUAAAGUAUCUGUCUUUUUGUCCGUCCGUCUGUCUGCUUGUUUGUGUGAAUAAGCUGAAUAAGCGGGAUUUCUAACACAGAGAGCAGGAAGGCCCUUCCAACAACACCGUGAGCACAGGAAAUCAAGCCCUUCACCCCUCCCAGGGCCUUGCCCCAAGACUCAUCGCCAAGGUAACCGCCAGCACUCAGCUCCUCCCAGACAUCUUGGCAAGAUGCCGUUUCCUGGAAUUCUGAUUCCUGAGGGGAGUGUGUGGGAAGGGAACACAAAGGAAUACUGUCAGUCACUGCUGCCUGAUAAUAAUGGACGGUCUUGGAAUCUGAGGAUAUUUCAUCUCCAGCUCCGGACUGCAGUCCAACUCCAGCUCAUUACCCUCAGAGCUCUGGGAGAGGCUACGGAAGGAUGGAGGGGAUUCAAAGCAAGGGUCAUCAUCUGUGUCCUGCAUGUGGCAGAUGGAGGUUGAACUGGAACCAUUUGCUUUUCUGUUUCCGGUGGAGUGGGUGGAGGUACAGCUGACAGUCCUCUGAGGCUGCUUGUGUUGCUGCUCCUGUAAGCUGCCUGGUAGGGCUUCUGGCUGGGAUGUAACAGGGUCUGCUGCUGGAAGUCCAUGGUUAUUUUUGCUUUGUCUGGAGUUCUUUGCCUCUUGAGCAGGUGCUGGAUCAGUGUUAACAUCAGAGGGAUUACCAAAACAGUGGCCCAGAGAGGAGCAAGGUAGUCCAUGCAUGCUGGGGGAUUCAGAUAUGACCAAAAGAAACAGUAAAAUAAAUUCUAAUUGCACUGACAUCAGGUGGAUGUGGGGUUGCCCAAUUUGUGGAACAACAUCAGACAGUCAGUUUAGCUUCUUGUGCAUCACCAGAUACUGGAAUAUAGUACAAACAAUAACCAAUAAGGAAUAUACAUGACUUCCUUUAAGUAGUACCAUAUAAGAAAAGGCCAACCAUUUCCACACUUGACAAGUGACGUAUGAAAUAAAACCAUCUCUUCAUCCAGGGAAUACGUUCAGUUUGAUCCAUGGCAGCAGGUAUCCUCAAUAGUUGUCCUCGCUGUCUGCAUGUCUUCUUGUUACAUCAUAUCAGUGGAUCUUCAGUUUAUCCCAGACUUAACCUACACAUUCUGGACUGUGUUGACCGUCUCUCAGUCAGUAGGUCAACCUUUCCUCACAUCAUUUAUUCUCUUUUUCGUUCUCAGAAAAUAGAUUUCCAGCUGGGUUGCCUCUAAAGUAGGUUCAAUCGGUCAUUUACUGGUGAGGGUCCCUCCUUCUUCAGCCCAUGAGCAUGGCUUCUUGUUGGCCUUCCAGACAACCUAUGCAUGUCUAAGCGUCGCAGGGCUUUUUUGUGUGUGUGAGUUGCAGUGUGCUGGUGGUAGGUGUCUCAUUACCAGGUAGUCCCUGGUCUGUUGUGAGCUUGGAGGCAGGGGCUGGGCCACAGGGACUCUGGUUACCAUCUGAUUCAGGAUCAGUUACCAAUAUGCUUGCCCUACACUUCACCACUAUUAAUUAAUGAACUCAUCUGAUCACAGAGCAGUGACCAAGAGUGUAAAGGUUAUUGGAGUGUUACAGACGGCUGAAUGAGAGUUCAAGUUACAGGCAAACGCCAUAAGAGAUAGGCCUCAGAGGAAGAGAAAGGAGGGAGAGAGAGAGACCCGAAGUCCCUCCUCCCAGGAUGAGCCAGACAGGAGAAAGCUAGUGGAUGACUGGCACUUAAAUAUUCAUGCAGUCGCAUAAAGAAUCUUGCAUCAAUAGUUUAUUCUGACUGGUGAACUGGUGAAUAUGUAUUUUUCAUAACACAAUAUGAAGCAGAGAUCAUAUUAUUGGUCAUUUAACCAGUAUAGCAGACACUAUUUUGAUGCCGAUUUAAACUUUAGAGGCUAAAAUGUUUGAAAAUGCCAUCAUAUAUACCAGUGAAACACAGCUGAUAUUCUGGGAGUAGGUCAGGUAAAAUAACCAAUGAGGAAACUCUUAUCUCCAUUGCAAACACAGAGUUCAUCAUCUAACCUUCAUCAGGGGUUAAAUAGCUCGCCAUGGAUGACUAAUAUGUAGUACAACAGUGCAACUGAUGACAGUCCCAUAUUUCAAUGAAAUUAAAGAUGCUUUUCAAUGCGUAGGGAAUUUAAAUACCAUGAACAACUGGCCUUAAAGAUGAAUUACAGGUGUGCUUUUAGUCCAAUUCUAAACCAGAUCGCAAGUUCAAAUGAUUAGGCAUCUUAAUGAUAAUGCAGAGCUGACUAAGAUUACAACAACAUGCUAUCGGCAGGAUUUACUGCCAGGUUUUCUAUAAAAAAUCAGUACCUGAAAGGGAAAAUUCUAUAACAUGAGCUGAAAUAUUAAGCAAUAAGCAUCCUUCCUGACAUAUCAACGAAGGGAAAUCGUUCCAGGAUCUGCUCAACGGGCAGCUGCUGUGAGAACACACUUUAAUGCAGAAUGUCAUAAAUUAUCCAGUUGAACUCUGCAGGAAAGCAGGUAGUUGAGAGGGGUGGACUGAUGCAAGACUGUUAGAAACUUACAAAGGCAGGAUUUAUUGUAAGGCUGUUGUGACUCCAUGAGUGACAAAAAAUGGCAAAUGAGUGUAACCAUCACAUGUGAAAACUGGCUUCAUCUCCACCUCCCUCGUGUAGACCUGGAAGAUCCAUUUCCAGUGUUUGAGCUUCCAAAUUUAGUUUUGGGAUAUCUAGUUCUUUAUAGGGAACUUUGUAGUCAAGAUGGAGAACUUGAAAUAGAUUUCAAAAUUAGGAACUGUUCUAAAUUUCCUCUGUCAUACACUGAUGUUGUGACCACCAGGCAUCUUCUCCUGAACAGUGAUCUGUUCCAGGUGGCUGGGAAGUGUGUGAUACACACUUUCAUGCUCUGGUAAAUGCAGUCUUGGAGUUGUGGAUGUGCUGUUCAAGGACACACCAAAAGAGAACAAUCACCUUACAAUGUUACUGAGCAGAGACAGAUUCAUGUCUGUAUGCAUUGAAAAAUGCAUUUAAUUAAUAUACUGGUGGACCUACUUUCAGGGUCUCUGUAGGCCCUUGGGUAUUAACAAAACAUAUUCUUCCAAGCAUUUAUUUAGUUAAGACUAUAACAUGCUUUAUAGACCUAAUUCCUUCCACAUUAUAGCCCCUUGCGUAAACAAAGCCAACAAUUUGCAUUUUUCCUCUGUCUCUCAUCACAGUAUAACAAACAA